Molecule: ribosomal RNA, 483 nt
Filed under: uncultured bacterium
Lineage: Bacteria
Description: partial 16S ribosomal RNA
Rfam family: Bacterial small subunit ribosomal RNA
Source: RNAcentral
AUUGAACGCUGGCGGCAGGCCUAACACAUGCAAGUCGAGCGGAUGAAGGGAGCUUGCUCCUGGAUUCAGCGGCGGACGGGUGAGUAAUGCCUAGGAAUCUGCCUGGUAGUGGGGGAUAACGUCCGGAAACGGGCGCUAAUACCGCAUACGUCCUGAGGGAGAAAGUGGGGGAUCUUCGGACCUCACGCUAUCAGAUGGGCCUAGGUCGGAUUAGCUAGUUGGUGGGGUAAAGGCCUACCAAGGCGACGAUCCGUAACUGGUCUGAGAGGAUGAUCAGUCACACUGGAACUGAGACACGGUCCAGACUCCUACGGGAGGCAGCAGUGGGGAAUAUUGGACAAUGGGCGAAAGCCUGAUCCAGCCAUGCCGCGGGUGUGAAGAAGGUCUUCGGAUUGUAAAGCACUUUAAGUUGGGAGGAAGGGCAGUAAGUUAAUACCUUGCUGUUUUGACGUUACCAACAGAAUAAGCACCGGCUAACUUCGU